AUUGAACGCUGGCGGCAGGCCUAACACAUGCAAGUCGAGCGGAUGAAGGGAGCUUGCUCCUGGAUUCAGCGGCGGACGGGUGAGUAAUGCCUAGGAAUCUGCCUGGUAGUGGGGGAUAACGUCCGGAAACGGGCGCUAAUACCGCAUACGUCCUGCGGGAGAAAGUGGGGGAUCUUCGGACCUCACGCUCUCAGAUCAGCCUAGGUCGGAGUAGCUAGCUGGUGGGGUAAAUGCCUACCAAGGCGACGAUCCGUAACUGGUCUGAUAGGAUGAUCAGUCACACGGGAACUGGAACACGGUCCAGGCUCCUAAGGUAGGGAGCAGUGGGGAAUGUUGGACAGUGGGCGAAAGCCUGAUACAGCCAUGCCGCGUGUGUGGAAGAGGUCUUCGGAUUGGAAAGCACUUUAAGUGGGGAGGAAGGGCAGUAAGUUAAUACCUUGCUGUUUUGACGUUACCAACAGAAUAAGCACCGGCUAACUACGUG
This 484-nucleotide ribosomal RNA is filed under the name uncultured bacterium. RNAcentral's name for it is "partial 16S ribosomal RNA". It matches the Rfam family "Bacterial small subunit ribosomal RNA", at positions 30 to 507 of the family's 1533-position model. The record is from RNAcentral.